UGGGGAAUUUUGGACAAUGGGGGAAACCCUGCUCAAGCCAACCUGCGUGUUCGAUGAAGGCCUCCGGGUUGUAAAGCACUUUUGGCAGGAAAGAAACGUCAUGGGUUAAUACCCCGUGAAACUGACGGUACCUGCAGAAUAAGCACCGGCUAACUACGUGCCAGCAGCCGCGGUUAUACGUAGGGCGCAAGCGUUAAUCGGAAUUACUGGGCGUAAAGCGUGCGCAGGCGGUUCGGAAAGAAAGAUGUGAAAUCCCAGUGCUCAACUUUGGAGCUGCAUUUUUUGCUACCGUGCUAGGGUGUGUCAGAGGGAGGUGGAAUGCCGCGUGUAGCAGUGAAAUGCGUAGUUAUGCGGAGGAACACCGAUGACGAAGGCAGCCUCCUGGGGUAACACUGACGCUCAUGCAAGAAAGCGUGGGGAGCAAACAGG
This 429-nucleotide ribosomal RNA is filed under the name Acidobacteriota bacterium. RNAcentral's name for it is "Acidobacteria bacterium partial 16S ribosomal RNA". It matches the Rfam family "Bacterial small subunit ribosomal RNA", at positions 355 to 776 of the family's 1533-position model. Lineage: Bacteria; Pseudomonadati; Acidobacteriota. The record is from RNAcentral.